GUGGUGGAAGGCAAUUUGGUAGGGCGUAUGGCUACCAACCUGAAGGUUGUGGGUUCAAUUCCCACCCUUUGCA
Massospora cicadina is the source of this 73-nucleotide non-coding RNA. NCBI's taxonomy places the organism in Eukaryota, Fungi, Entomophthoromycota, Entomophthoromycetes, Entomophthorales, Entomophthoraceae. The record is from the annotation of a GenBank genome assembly.